This 461-nucleotide ribosomal RNA is filed under the name uncultured bacterium. RNAcentral's name for it is "bacterial SSU rRNA". It matches the Rfam family "Bacterial small subunit ribosomal RNA", at positions 340 to 789 of the family's 1533-position model. The record is from RNAcentral.
UACGGAAGGCAGCAGUGGGGAAUAUUGCACAAUGGGCGAAAGCCUGAUGCAGCUAUGCCGCGUGUAUGAAGAAGGCCUUAGGGUUGUAAAGUACUUUCAUCGGGGAGGAAAAAACAAAACUAAUAAUUUUAUUUCUUGACGUUACCCGAAAAAGAAGCACCGGCUAACUCCGUGCCAGCAGCCGCGGUAAUACGGAGGGUGCUAGCGUUAAUCAGAAUUACUGGGCGUAAAGAGCACGUAGGUGGUUUUUUUAAGUCAGAUGUGAAAUCCCUGGGCUUAACCUAGGAACUGCAUUUUGAAACUGAAAUACUAGAGUAUCGUAGAGGGAGGUAGAAUUCUAGGUGUAGCGGUGAAAUGGCGUAGAUAUCUGGAGGAAUACCUGUGGCGAAAGCGGCCUCCUAAACGAAUACUGACACUGAGGGUGCGAAAGCGUGGGGAGCAAACAGGGGUUAGAUACCCGU